UGGAUUAGUGGCGAACGGGUGAGUAACACGUGGGCAAUCUGCCCUUCACUCUGGGACAAGCCCUGGAAACGGGGUCUAAUACCGGAUAACACUCUGUCCCGCAUGGGACGGGGUUAAAAGCUCCGGCGGUGAAGGAUGAGCCCGCGGCCUAUCAGCUUGUUGGUGGGGUAAUGGCCUACCAAGGCGACGACGGGUAGCCGGCCUGAGAGGGCGACCGGCCACACUGGGACUGAGACACGGCCCAGACUCCUACGGGAGGCAGCAGUGGGGAAUAUUGCACAAUGGGCGAAAGCCUGAUGCAGCGACGCCGCGUGAGGGAUGACGGCCUUCGGGUUGUAAACCUCUUUCAGCAGGGAAGAAGCGCAAGUGACGGUACCUGCAGAAGAAGCACCGGCUAACUACGUGCCAGCAGCCGCGGUAAUACGUAGGGUGCGAGCGUUGUCCGGAAUUAUUGGGCGUAAAGAGCUCGUAGGCGGCUUGUCACGUCGGAUGUGAAAGCUCGGGGCUUAACCCCGAGUCUGCAUUCGAUACGGGCUAGCUAGAGUGUGGUAGGGGAGAUCGGAAUUCCUGGUGUAGCGGUGAAAUGCGCAGAUAUCAGGAGGAACACCGGUGGCGAAGGCGGAUCUCUGGGCCAUUACUGACGCUGAGGAGCGAAAGCGUGGGGAGCGAACAGGAUUAGAUACCCUGGUAGUCCACGCCGUAAACGUUGGGAACUAGGUGUUGGCGACAUUCCACGUCGUCGGUGCCGCAGCU
This 753-nucleotide ribosomal RNA is filed under the name Streptomyces sp. qf4-1. RNAcentral's name for it is "bacterial SSU rRNA". It matches the Rfam family "Bacterial small subunit ribosomal RNA", at positions 88 to 853 of the family's 1533-position model. Lineage: Bacteria; Bacillati; Actinomycetota; Actinomycetes; Kitasatosporales; Streptomycetaceae. The record is from RNAcentral.